CAUGUCCUUUUGAUAUUAAUUUAAGGUCUAAUCUGCUCAAUGAUUAUUAUUAAAUGGCCGUGGUAUAUUGACUGUGCAAAGGUAGCAUAAUAAUUAGUUUUUUUAUUGGAAACUGGUAUGAAUGGUUGGACAAGGGAUUUACUGUCUCCUUGAUAUUUAUUUUGAAUUUAACUUUUUAGUAAAAAGGCUAAAGUUUGUAUUAAAGACGAGAAGACCCUAUAGAGUUUGACAUAUUUGAUUUUGGGGGUUUUAAGGGAUUUUUUUACUUUCAUUUCUUUUUUGUUUAGUUGGGGUGAUUAGGGGAUUGAUUUAACUCUCUUAUUUAUUUUUUACUAAUGAGUAUUUGUUUUGUCUAAAUUUUUUAAGUUUAAAUUAAAUUACCUUAGGGAUAACAGCGUUAUUUCUUUUUAGAGUUCUUAUUGUUAAAGAAGUUUGCGACCUCGAUGUUGGAUUAAAAUUUAUGUUGGGUGUAGUAGUUCAAACAUUUAAGUCUGUUCGACUUUUAAAAUUUUACAUGAUCUGAGU
This 525-nucleotide ribosomal RNA is filed under the name Microselasia grandis. RNAcentral's name for it is "partial large subunit ribosomal RNA". The stretch from base 388 to 525 matches the Rfam family "Bacterial large subunit ribosomal RNA", at positions 2473 to 2610 of the family's 2925-position model. The record is from RNAcentral. Lineage: Eukaryota; Metazoa; Arthropoda; Insecta; Coleoptera; Elateridae.